GCAAAGGCUGUGAAGGAAAGAAGUAACAGAACAACUGCACAACAGAGAGUUGCCGGCCGGUGAGAGGCACAGAUGCGGUUCCUGCGAAUACAUUCCGGAGCUCUGCACCGAACACAGAAGUGUAAGUAGGCUGCAGCGGAGUGACAUCCGUUAACAACGUUAAAGUAUUGCUGUGGAUAGGUAAAAAAUUGCGAAGAACAGCAAAAGGAUUUUAAUGAAAGGAUUCCGAUGGCAGUACUUACUGAGGCAGUCUGGUGUGAGCCGGCUGUGAAUAAAGGUGGUAACACGAGAUUUCAGCUCUCGUCCUUUUC
Molecule: non-coding RNA, 311 nt
Filed under: Bacillota bacterium
Lineage: Bacteria; Bacillati; Bacillota
Description: Firmicutes bacterium T-box sequence
Rfam family: T-box leader
About the family: Uncharged tRNA acts as the effector for transcription antitermination of genes in the T-box leader family. T-boxes are found upstream of many aminoacyl-tRNA synthetase genes and some amino acid biosynthetic genes usually in Gram-positive bacteria.
Source: RNAcentral